GGCAGAUUCAAAGCUUCCCGAUCAGCAGGCCGGACAUGAAAAGGGAACAACCAUUACUUUGGCUGCUCAAGCAGGAGCGAAUGUCGUAUUUGAAUC
RNAcentral lists this non-coding RNA (96 nucleotides) under marine eukaryotic metagenome. RNAcentral describes it as "Pyrrolysine insertion sequence mttB". It matches the Rfam family "Pyrrolysine insertion sequence mttB". The record is from RNAcentral.